UCAAACAAACCGCCGACUCUCUAUCCUCCAAUCAGAGUGCCGUUCAAUGUUUGUGCAUCCUCGAUAGGGAUGCACGUCGCUAUUGGCUCUUUGCUAAUGUAAUUUCGCUCUGACGCAAGUACGUGUAGUUUCGACACGUGCCAUCCAAGUCUACGAACAAGUCGACUCUUUCCAGCUCUUCUCGUUGUCUGUCUCUCGUUCUAAGAUUGCUAGACUCAAACUUUACCACAGAGGCCAACCAAAGGUCGACCGCAAUAGAUGAGGGGUAAUAGCACAAGCGAAGCAAGACCAGGAGAUAUUUUCCACCUCGACUUUGAGCAAGCAGCCACUUGCGUAGGGACAGCAGCAGCUGCAGGAGAGCUGGAGAAAGAUCAACAGCAUGGCAGGCUCUUUCUAUCCUAUUGUGGCGGAGACAAUGGGUCUCUUGGUCGUCAAACAGUCUAUUAAUUAGUUCUGAAGACUAUUGUCAGAAGAACAUGGUUUUCAAAACAAUGCUACUCUAUAAUUAGUCAGUGUAUGUGUAAUUGACCUCAAGAACUCUCUUGUAAAUUAUGGCAUUAUGGUUAUACAACGCUAGAAUGAUUUUAUAUUUAGAAUAGCUCUGGAUGGCAGUGUUGGUGUACCUAUAAUAAUUUUUAAAAACUAUAUACGCGUGUGCGUAUAUUAUAGUGCUGCUUGUAACAUUUAUGCUUGUAGCAUUUAUGCUGGCCAGUGUGCAUUGACUUGGCAAGAAUUACCAAGCAGCG
Corticium candelabrum is the source of this 746-nucleotide long non-coding RNA. RefSeq lists it as uncharacterized. The transcript has 3 exons. The record is from RefSeq and is a predicted model, not a curated record. Lineage: Eukaryota; Metazoa; Porifera; Homoscleromorpha; Homosclerophorida; Plakinidae.